CAACUUCUGCAGACAUAGAUUUUGUUGCUCUGUCAAAUGCAGAUAGUGAUGCAGACACUUCAGAGGAUCAUCCAAAAGUAGUCGAACAUAAAAUAGCUUCAGUUUUACUAAAGUUGGAAAACUGUUUUUAUGUUUCGUCUACAGCAAUUGAAUUACUUGAUGAACUGCACUUCCUGUUAAGUACUGCCCUUACAAAAAAUAACUGCAGUAAAUUGAAGUACAAUAAGUAGUAUAAAUGCAGUACAAUGAAGUACAACUGGACAAUUGCAAUAUAAUGAAGUAUAUAACUGCAGUUCAUUAAAGUUCAAGAGCAGUAAAGCUGAAGUGCAAUGAAGUGCAACUGUAGAUUUGCAGUAUAAUGAAGUACAGAUACAAUAUAACUGCAGUUCAGUGAUACGCUGAAAUGCAGGUGAAAAUUUCAGAUGCAAAAACUUCUAAGUCUGUCUGAUUAAAUUAAUUUAAUUGUAUUUUUUUUUUUUUAUGAGCUUUUUUUUUUUAAAUAAAGCUCCUAUGAUUAGGUUCAGUAAUUUCACUUUAAUGGCAAUGAGGUUCUUUUCAUUGCCAAUAAAGUCUUCUUGUAUAGACGGUUUCAUCGGGCGCAUGCGCCUGGCCUAAAUUAACUUCCGGUGUGUGUUUGUUUAUAGGUUUGGCUACAAACGCAGUUAAAGUUAAAGUGAUGAGUAAUGAAGUUGGGCUGUGGGUUUUAUUUCCCAUACAGUUAUUUAUUUCUGGCAACCUGCCACGAUAUCAAAACUGACCGAUUUUCCAAAAGACUUUGUUGAAUAAACACGUACUGCACGUUUAAAAAUCAAAACAAGGCGCUGGUGUUUUUAUAUCACUGUAUUUCUGAAGGAAGACUGUCUUGUCAUUUUCAUUUCAUCUUGCAUGUUAUAUGCUAUGAUUUAUCAUUUGGGUAGUUGUUUUGAGAGUUUGAUUUAUUAUUUGAUCUUUUUAGAUAUUUUAAUUUUGUUAGGAAAAAACGUCCAUAAUAUGCCUGAUAAAGCAGCGUUUGUGAGCAGAGCUCUGCUUUGUGUAGUGUUAUCGGGAAACCUCUCUUUCUCCCGCUUUAAAGCACCUCCUGCUGGCAGUGAAUGAAUUUGCAUUUUCAAUAAGUCAGUUACGCAGCAAAAAUAUUUUGCUUAUAAAAAAUAAUCUACUCAAGAGGGAUUCAAGCUGUUGAUUAGAUUUGGAAGUCUACCGGAAGUUAAGUUAGGGCCACAAAAGUGCGCAUGCGCAGUAACGUUUGUUUAUGUUGUUGCCGUUGAAACCGUCUUAUAGGCCCUGUACUGCAGUUAUGCUGUAUUGUGCAACAUGUAGAAGUGCUGUGGUUACAGUAGACUUGGCAAGUGUUUUUUUUUUUUUUGUAACGUUGGCUUCCUAUAAAAUAUUCGUACAAAAAUAUUUUUGUACAAAAAAAUAUUUGCCUAUGGAAUAUUUCACCCGCAUCGAUUAAUAACCCGCACGUGAGAUCUUCCUUCGCGCCCAGAGAAACGGCUCUGUUCGCGCCAAAGGUCGUUGUCCUGACAACGAGUCUCGCGAGCAGCGGAUUAAGUAACCGACAGUAAAUCAGCGUCUUUUCCGUAGUGUCUGCUGCAGGAUGGAUGUAAAGUAUAAAACACGUUUUGGUUUGACAACAUCGUUCAUAUGUGAACUAUCACAAUUAAAGCACAAAGAUAUAACAUUUCACUCCGAGACCUUUCACAAGUGCGACAAAAGAGAAGAAACGCUUUCCGGAAGAAGUUCAUCAGGAGAGGUGGAGACUAGUCGACUCAUCCAGUUUAGCGGAAAAUGCACUGGUAACAACUAAAAAAAGACGACCAAAAAUAUAAUUCAACAGAGGGUGAUGGCUGUGGUGAAACAAGCACUCAAAUAAUGAAACUAAGACCAGUGGGAGUGCUGGAGAAAUCAAGUGUAUAAGUCCUCUGUCUCCUCAGCCAUGGAAGAGAUCUUCAGACAUGAAGAGAUCGAGGAGUUAAAUGAAAUCAAAGAGCUAAAAGAAGAUUUACAAUACUACUGCCAUUUCAGCAUGAAAACAGAGAGAGAGCUGAGGGAAUGGAAAAGUAAAGAAAUGUAGUUAUAACAGCAAUUAUUCUCAAUGCUUAACUUCCAGUCAAAUUGUACUCCACAAACAUUAAAGGGUUAGUUCACCCAAAAAUGAAAAUUCUGUCAUUAAUUACUCACCCUCAUGUUGUUCCAAACCCAUAAUACCUUUGUUCAUCUUCAAAACACAAAUUAAGAUAUUUUUGAUGAAAUCUGAGAACUUUCUGACCCCUCUCUAUA
Molecule: long non-coding RNA, 2280 nt
Organism: Onychostoma macrolepis
Lineage: Eukaryota; Metazoa; Chordata; Actinopteri; Cypriniformes; Cyprinidae
Exons: 3
Source: RefSeq, a predicted model, not a curated record